AAGGCUUGACAUAUGCGAGAACGCCCUAGAAAUAGGGAACUCUUUGGACACUCGUAUACAGGUGGUGCAUGGUUGUCGUCAGCUCGUGUCGUGAGAUGUUGGGUUAAGUCCCGCAACGAGCGCAACCCUCGUCGUAUGUUGCCAGCACGUGAUGGUGGGAACUCAUAUGAGACUGCCGGGGUCAACUCGGAGGAAGGUGGGGAUGACGUCUGCGUAACAGAA
Molecule: unclassified non-coding RNA, 222 nt
Filed under: uncultured Microbacteriaceae bacterium
Lineage: Bacteria; Bacillati; Actinomycetota; Actinomycetes; Micrococcales; Microbacteriaceae
Description: contains 16S-23S intergenic spacer region
Rfam family: Bacterial small subunit ribosomal RNA
Source: RNAcentral